This 23033-nucleotide long non-coding RNA is filed under the name Malus domestica (apple). RNAcentral's name for it is "long non-coding RNA (MDOM_LNC007871)". Lineage: Eukaryota; Viridiplantae; Streptophyta; Magnoliopsida; Rosales; Rosaceae. The record is from RNAcentral.
CAAGCAAGCCCAAUUCAAAAGCGAAGAACGAGGCUCCUAAUCUGAAUGAUGAUUCUUGUUUUUGGGCGCACGUCGAGGAAGCGCUUAUCUGGUGCAACGAACAAGCGAGUAAUCCAGAUGCUAAGCCAAUGACCGAAUAUGAGCUUUACGUUCUGAAUAUGCUCGAGAAUUUCGCAGUUACGGUUGAUAUUUUCUUGAAAAAUAGCAGCUUCAUGCAUUGGUGGAACAAGUAUAAAGUAAUUGUGGGAAGCAACUACUCCUCAGCAUUUACCGAGGUCAUGAAGCGUAAGACUUAUCGCAAAUAUGCGGAUGGGGUCUCAGUUCGUACUGAUCAAUAAUCCAAUAUAAUUAAGUUUUAAGCAAGCAAUUAAAUCAGAUAAAGCAAGAUUAAUUUUGCUGUAUCGCUUAUGAUCUUCAUAGAGAGACGUGCAUUACUUGCAGGGCUUGUUGGUGCUACUAGUACUACUUUUGGAUAUUUUAAUUUGUUUGUGGUUUCUUUUUGUGUGGGGGUAAUGUUUCAAGGGGUAAAUCUCAGUUUAGUAUUCUUAAAUUUUGUGUUUUUCAACAUGUAGUACAUUAAGUUAUUUUUGUCUCCGAGUUAUACUUAAAUUGUUAAUUUUGGGACAGUCUCAUACAUCCGUUAGUCUGACUGUUAAGUCUCCCAUUAAUUGAUGAUGCGACGCCUAUGUGAACAAUAACUGGACGUCAUGUGUCAUUAAAAGGUUCACGUGGAAAUUCAAAAAAAAAAAAAAAAAAAAACCGAAAUUUCAAAAUUCAAAAUUUUAAAAUUUCAAAAAUUAAUAAAUUAAAAAAAGGUGGGGAUAAUUUCUUCCUCUAUCCCCGUCCCUUUUUCUCUCUUAUGCAAUUAUUGAGCUCUCCUUUGAAUCUCAGAUCCCCAGCAACCCUUGCCCUUGCGACCUUGUAACCCUUAGCAGAGGUUUGCAAACCUCGUAACCAUCGCCUUUUGUUACGAUCCAAUUCUCUAAACCCUUAAUCAACUGGCAAGUAACACAGAGGGUCGAGAGGAGGAGGGAAGGAGGAAGGUAGAAGGAGCGGAGCUCCAAUAUUUUUGUUUAUAUUUCUUUUUGUGUAAAUUCUCAUCUGAUUACAAUAGUGAGAGCUAGUGCUCUUGAGUCUUAUACAAGUCACAACUCAUCAUGCCAGCUAGCUAAUUAUAACAAACUUCACUAAAACAGGAAUAAGCCUAAUAAUCCCAAGAUUAAAACCCUUAAUAGUGAUUAAGCUAAUCACUAAUUACAGAUCAUAUCAUUACUCCCCCCUUGAAAAACAACCUUGUCCUCAAGGUUAGGAUUAGCACUUGAAAUCUGGAACUUUUUCGCAGUGAAUUCAUCAUAAGCCUCUUUGCUUUUAUUGUCUGACCAAGGCACUGCACCAAAACUUGGACUGCAAAAACCUUGGUUGAUAUCUGCAACCUAUCCCAGAUGCUGAAAAAAAAAAAAAAGAGAACAAGCUUUGGAGAUGACUCCCCGCGAAGCCUUGAUGUCUCAGCUGGAAAGAAUUUCUCCCCGUCAUGUGAUGUAUGCAGAUUAUCCCUUACAAUCAAUUCUGGACCUUCCAAGCUGAGUCUCCCUGAAACAGAUGGGAAAUUUAUUAGAAAAAUAGAUCAGCCCACAUGUGUGUAAUCUAUAUACAAAAAAUCACUCUCUUCAUUAGCCAAAUCGUUUCACAAAUCCCAAAACACAGAACUAUAUCUUGAACAGUGCUAAUUAAUGAUUUCCCAUUUACUUAAGCCCAACAUCAGCGCCAAUGAACUGAUGAAAGAGCGAAAAAGAGAAACAAAAAACCUCAAUGAAGCAAUUAAAUGGAGAAUUACUUGAUAGUGCUGGAAAAUUACUACAAAACGUUUGAAAAUUACCCAUUAAGAUUAUAAAAAAUUAAAAAAAAUUAAAAAAAAAAGAUGAUGUGGAGUGGAGUGGGAAUCACAUACCGCCAUCACCUUUAAAUAUGUAGUGCUCCCCUGAAAGAGCAUCAAGAGUGACUGUGCAGAGAAACGAAUGAUUGAAAAAUUCAAGCUCUGAGCUCAAAGUUGGGGCUUCCACUUUCCAACUGGGGAAGAAAUAAUAAAGAAAACACAGAAUCCAUCAAAAAUAUUAAUCAAAUGGGUUUCUUCUAAUUCAAAAUUUGGACCACCCAAAUUCUGAUGAAGAAAUAACCAUUCAAAAUUCCAACAGAUUGAAGCUCUCACAGACUACAAAUUAUCAAUACCCAGCAAUAAAAAAUUUGAAAACAGUAAUAAUGAAGGAAAAAGAAAUUAAAGCUGCGAGCCAUUCUCUAAAUCUCAGGCACCAAUCCAAAUCACCAGUAAUUUGCACAUAAUGAUAAGAAUCUAGCAGUAUUUCCAUUGUUUAAAACCCAAAUUCUAGAAAUCAUGAAAAAUGGAAACUUUAUAUGGAAAUUGAAGCUUUACCUGCAGAUUAGCAGCAGCAAACGAAUCCAACGGCAUAUACCUCAAAAGUGAGUGACAGAGAAAGAGAGAGCUAAGAGAUGAGUGAGAGAAUCGAUAAACAAAAACCCCCAUAACCACAAAAGGAAAUUUGAACAAAAACAAAUAUGCAAAUCCAAAAUCACAAAAACGAAAUGAAACACCCACACCGAGAAAGUUGUAAAACUCACCAGAAGCACAGUGCUUCCCAAAAUUCUAGUUGUUUCACUCCUCUCUUCCCCAAAUUUACAGGUAUGUUUUUCUUUUCUGUAAUCUGAUUAUAAAUUAUUAAAGAUGAUUACACGAACCACCGAAAUCACCACCAAAUUUCAACAAAGAAGUAACUAAGCACAACAAAAAGAAGAAGAAAAAAAAGGUUAAACUCUGUUUACUACCCUCAUGUUUCGUGGUUUUCAACAUUUAGUACAUCAAGUUUUUUUCGUCCCAGAGUCAUACCUAAAGUGUUAAUUUUGGAACAAUCUCAUACAUCUGUUAGUCAAACUGUUUAUUCUCCCGUUAAGUGAUGACGUGGCACCUAUAUGGACAAUGACUGGACUCCAGGUGUCAUUAAAUAUAUUAAAAUAAUUAAUUAAAUAAAAGUUUUAAAAAAAAAACCCAUCCCUCCUUCCCCCCUCCCCCAACCCAACCCAACCCAGAAGAAGAAAAAGGUGGAGGAAGAAAAGGGAGAAAAAGAAACCAAAUCUGGGAAGAAGAAGAAGGAAAAAAAAACCGAAUUUGGGAAGAAGAAGAAGAAGAAGAAGAAUGAGGAGGAAGAAGAUGAAGAAGACGAAGAAGAAGGAGGGAGAAGAAGAGAAAGAAGAGGAAGAAGAAGAAGAAGAAGAAGGAAGAAGAAGAAAAAAAAAACCGAAUCUGGGAAGAAAAAGAAGAAGAAGAAGAAAAAAAAAACCGAAUCUGGGAAGAAGAAGAAAGAAGAAGAAGAAGGAAGAAGAAGAGGAAGAAGAAGAAGGAGAAGGAGGAAGAAUGAUGAAGUAGAAGAAGAAGAAAAAAAAAACUGAAUAUGGGAAGAAGAAGAAGAAGAAGAAGAAGAAAAAGAAAAAAAACAGCAGCCCAAACCCAGUUCGUCCCCCUCCCCCCUGCAACCCACCUGCCUUCUCCCUCGUCCCGCGAACACGACCCACCUGUCUUCCUUCUUCUUCUUCUGGGUUACAAAUUCGAUUUUUUUUCUUCUUCUUCUUCUUCUUCUUCUUCUUCUUCUUCUAGGGGGGGCGGGGGAGAAGGAUGGGGUUUUUUUUUAAUUUAUAUUUAAUUAAUUAUUUUAAUUUUUUUUUAAUGAGACGUGGCACCCAGUCAUUGUCCACAUAGGCACCACGUUAUCACUUAAUGGGAUAAUUAACAGUUUGACUAACGGAUGUAUGAGACUGUCCCAAAAUUAACAUUUUAGGUAUGACUCUAGGAUGAAAAAAACUUGAUGUACUAAAUGUUGAAAACCACGAAACAUUAGGGUAGUAAACAGAGUUUAAUAAAAAAAAAUCAAAUAUUUGGCUUUUGGGUAUUUGAGAAAAAGUGAGAUUUAAUUACCUGUCACAGGCUACAGUAAUUGGGAGCACGAUGGGGCGGCGAGGAGAUUGAACAGAUAAGGAAGCAAAGAUCGAACAUAUAUCACGAAGCGGAAUCAAAAUCGUCAAUCGUGUUGCAGAGCACAGUUUUUUCCUUUUUGGAUUUCUGCGGUUUCUGAGGAAGAAGUCGAGAGACUUAUUGGACACCUAAGGUUAUAACCGACCUUUUAAUGUGUAAUGUACACAAAAAAGCAAGACUUGAAGAGCAACUGAAGGGCAAAAUGGGAAGAACAUUGUCGAAGGAACAGUGUUUCAGUUCUUUUUCUCUUUUAGUUAAUAUAAUAUAAUUGCUAUGCUAAAACCCAUAGUUCAGAGAAGAAUCUUGCAUGAUCACUAACAACGUAAGGGAAAAUCAAACUUUGUGUUGCUUGUUUUAUGAAUCUCUUUAUUUUUUAUUUCAAAUUUAUGAGUGUCUCACUUUUCCACAGUUUCUAAUCUGUUAUUGUUUUGGGAAAGUGGUUAAAAUGGUAUGAAAUCAUAUCUCAAUUCUCAAUUUCUGAACUUAUCAAAAUCAAAUAUCGACAACAUACUGAAAAAUUGAUAAUUUCAGUGAUUGGGUAAAAAAUGAUCAUUUUAGCCAAAUUCCCUCUUAUUUUCUGUUGUCGUAAUUUAGAUUGCAACUUUUGUAAGUUUUUCUGAUUUUGGUGUUGGUUUUUGUAGUUAAGUAUCAAGGAAUGUGUCAAGCCCCUAUUUGGACAUUCGUUUAGAAUCGACACGUGACGUCACCAAAUACCUGUACAUCUACCAUACCCUACUUCCAGGAUACGGGCCAAACACAACUCACGAUCCAAAAGCAUAGUAAUUUUUUUCGUAUACUUUAUGGCUGCAUCUAACCUCCUCAUUAGAUUGCCUACGUAUCAUAAACAGGGAUCAAGCCAUUCAUAGUUCGUCCUUCACUACCCUUGAACAAUCAUCACAUAAAUAAAUAUGUCUCAAUAUAAUACCUUCAUCCAUACCAUGUAACAUAUCAAAUAACAAACGAAGCACAGUAAUAUUCUCUAGUCAUGUUGCCAUUCACCCACACAUAUGUUUUCCAACACCAUCCAACAAUCACACCAAUCAAUAACACAUACAAUACAUCGACAUGCAGGGCUAAAGUGACAAAGUUCGGUCGAAACCUACAUCUCUAAAGCUGAAAUCGAAUCCAAGGAACCCAAACCACCCCUAGCUCGUCCCAUAUUCCUUCACGAGCCCAGAGCUUAAACUCGAGCAACUCUCGGACCUCACAUCAGAGAAAACAGGAAAUGGAGAACUACGACAAGUUCUCAAAUUCUUUCGACCGAGGUAAAACUCGAAAUACCUUCAAUCUCUACCCUUUUGAUGUUCUGAUUCAAUUUUUGAGUUGUAUACGUGUUGUGACGACGUUUAGGUGCAAAAAUCACUCGAGGAUGAACUCCCUAGUUUUCUGGCGAAGUCCGCAAGUUUCAGACCAUUUUUCUGGCCAAAACCUUUGGGCCAUUGUUCUAGCCCAACCCAACAACUCAGUCAACCUAAUCUAACCUAGCAAACCUGGCCUAACCUAGUGACCCGGAUCUGUGAAACCUGCCCAAGCCUAGAUUCGUGGGCCAGAUCCACCCUGGGAUCCGGCCCGACCCAAUUCCCAAAUGGAUUUGAAAUAUUCCAGAAUAUUCCAAGAAUAUUCUUUGGAAUAUUCCUUGUGUUGACUUUUAUGAUAUUUUCUCACGAACCUUCUUAGACUAAUUUCGACGCCUUGAGUCCGUUUUUGACAUCUAUUUAGUGAAAUUAUAAAGAUUUAAUAUGGUUGACCGGCUCGGUGUCUCGAUUCACUUUUUGGGUCAACUGUUGACUUUUCGUUGACUUUUUACAAAAUUUACCCGGGACUUCUCGUAGGGUAAUUCGACGCGCUGAUUCUGAAUCUGCUGUCUGUUUCUCCAAAUUCAAAUGUUUUAAUUAAGUUUUUACUAAUGGGCCUCUAUUAUGCUUAGGUACUCUUUAGCAUUGGCGAAUUCUUAUUUACAUGUCUGAAUGUCAGUAACCUUGCAAGUACCUGUGAGUGGACCCCUUCUCAAAUUGCAUGUUUUCAUAACUAUUAGGCUUGCAUUCAUGAAAAUAAUAUUUUUUAUAAUUCUACAUUUUAUGAAUUAUUUAUGCUUCAUAUUUGAUUUAUAUUGCUUUCACGAAGUCUUUAUGAAUUAUCUUAAUAGAUUUUGAAGAAUUAUUUAUAAUCCAUUGGUUUAAUGUUUAUGAGAACUCGUAUUUAUGGAAAUCACGUUUAUGGAUUUAUAAGAUUUGAGAUAUGUUUUAUAUACUUAUCUAGUGGGUUAUCAUACAACACAUACACACAACCUGACUAUGUAGACGUCUAUGGCCAUAGGACACAGUUGAGGAUAUUUAUGACAUACUCCCAGCUUUACUGGCGAAACCAGUGUCGGACAACUUUAAUAGCCACGGCUAGUGUCGGUAUGUUAUGUUUAUAGUUAUAUUUUCUUCUCUCGCGUAACCCAGAGUCGUAUAGCUUCACCUUCGGGUGAUGGGACCUACCAUGUUUCUUCACCGGCAUAACCUAGAGUCGUACAACUUCACCUCCAGGUGAUGAUUAUGCCUUCGGGCGACUAUGAUACCCCUAGUUGAGUAUAUCACAGAGUUUAUUUACGAGAUUCUCAUAUCUGCCUUCGGGUGUUACUAUCGAUUUCCAAAGAGGAUUUUAUCGUUACAAAAUUUUUAGCAUGCUAGAGUUUCCAAAAAAACUAUUAUGUAGUAUUAUAUGGGUUUUCAAAACAGAGAGUUAAUAUGUUCAGAAAAAGAAAACGUUUUUUGUAUUAUUACUACUAUUAUUAUAAAUUAUCGUCCACUUACCCUUUCAUUCUUGCGCCCCCUUCAGGAUUUAGAAUCGAGACGUACGAUCCCGGCGUCAGGGCACUUCCGUAUAGGUAUCUUUGAGUCUUCUCAGUGUAUGGCCCAUUUCCCUUGUUCGUGCCUUUUUAUAAUUAUUCUUUCACAUUAUUCUUGCUUAGUUGUAGGCUCUGAACACGUUUCCUUAAUUGCGUAUUUCUUUAUAGUUACAUAUUUUAGUCACUUUUGUUUACUGAUACCACUUGCAUGCAUGUUAAAAUGGCUUCGUCACCUUUAGGUGUCAGCCAGCAUGUGCCUACCCUAGUAUUCGAGGAUAUCGGGGUUGGGGCAUGUCAGCCUGGGUGGUCGUAGGUGCACAGGGGCGCGCGUGGGCCAUCAGACCUUGGGCCUGCGCUGCGUGCUGGGCUAGUGCUUGCUCUUCAUGGGUCUGGGCCUAGCUAGUAGUGAGUUGGGCUCGACUGGUAACGAGCUGGUCCUUAGUCGUCUGCCCAUGGGUUCUUUUUGCUGGUUGGCCAGCUCUGCUGGUCUUCCGUGCACCUGGACCUGCUGCAGUGGCUUAGGCCUCAUUCCCUGGGCCUAAUAUGGCAGCUGUCACGUUUUCGACCUCUUACAUGUGGUUCGUGAGCCCCUGUUUCAACGUAGUUGGCCAUUUGUAGCACGCGCUUGGGCCUCGGCUUAGGCUGCUACUAUGAAAUCACAUUCUUGGAUUUCACUAUUAUAAUUUCCAUGUUUUGUAUUCGCGAAAUUUUAUAUUAUUUUUUGCAAAUUUAAUUUAAUUUAGUUAAUUUAGAAUUUUAAUUCCUUAGUUACAAAGUUUGAAAUUUUGAAAAGAAUCAUUUAAAAUUUGUAGACCUUUCAAGUUCAAAAUUAAUGUUUUCAAAAAAGAUCAAUCAUACGAACGUGUAGGCAAAAGCCGUUCACGAACGGAGCUAUAACAAAGUUAUGAGUGACGAAAGUUGGAGAUAAAUGUUAAUUUAGGAAUUUCUCUAAAUGAAAACUUACUAUUUUUAUUUGGAAGAGGGACCAAUCAGAUUGGGGAAAAGCCCAUUUAAUGGGAGGAUGGACUAAUCAGAAAUGGGAGGAAGGUUGACCAAUCAGAAAAGAUAGAACCAACAGAGCCGAAUCCUCCCUCAACCCGCAGGACCCGGUUUCUGGCGACUUUUGCUUCCUUUUUUUUGUCAAUUUUUCGACGAGUUGGAGACAUCCAUCACCACCACAUGACUCAUCAACCUCCCCUCUUCAAUUCUCACCUAAACUCAACUCAGUUUUACUCUAAUUUCAUGAUGAACUCCUUCGGCGAGUUCAUGAGUCCUGCAUUGGUGAUCUGCCAUUUUUUAAAGUUAUUUUUUUUACCACCACCACCCACAAACACCCUUUAAGCCCAGGAACAUGACCCAAACAAGUUUGGGGUGAACAGAGCAACGAAGAGGAUGAAUCAAAGUGCACCAUUUUUAGGGUUUUCCGAUGGAUCGUGGUAUUAUCAGGCCUUAGACCUCGACCCAUGUAUAAAACUUACUCCCUUCUUCAAGAUCUUUAUUUUGGUAUAAUUUGAGAAAUUUUGGAGUUAGGUGAAUUUUCGAACAAAUCGGGGCGGUCAACCACCUCGUGCGGCAGCGCGUGCUGGUGGCGCAUAGCUCGAGGACCCAUUUGGUCCUUCUUGAGUACAUUUGAUGCCCAAUUCCAUAUUUGAUAUCUGAUUGAAAAAAAUUUGUCGCUUGAACAUAUUUUCGUUAGGGUCCGCCACUUGAAUAUUGUAACUUUGAGAUGUGGAGGCAAUUGAAGAUUAGAGUUUGAUUAUCAAGGAAAUGGAAACAGGCUUCAAGCUUGGUUUGAGAUGUGGAGGCAACUGCUGAUACAUAUAUGUUUGGAUGCUAUGUUUAGAAUUAUUUAAUUUUGCAUUGACAUGGUUAAAAUUCUAGAAGAAAAAAAAUGAGAAAUUUCCUUGUUAUGAUGUUCAAGAUAUGAACUGUGAUAGCCACAACUAUUAUGUCAUAUUUUAGAAGGAAUACUUUUUGCCUUUAGCAACAUUUUUAUUUUGUUGAAAAGAAGGAAGAAAGAUGCUAUUUGUGGCAUUUGUUAUGCUAUUUGUUUCAUAGGAAAUCUGGAAAAAUCUACCAAAAAUCCCUCCAAUUUUUUUUCGUCAGCAAAAUCAAUUCCAAAAGAAAGAUUAAUGAGGCUUUCAAAAAAAUUUUAAAAAAAUUAAAAUGCUCAAAGUCCAAGAAUUCUCACCAAUUUAUUUUAGUCAUUAAAAUUAUACUUAAUGAGGUUUCCAAAAUUCUAGGCACAUUAAAAACAAUAUAAGGGCAAAUUUGGAAAUCAAAUUAAAAUAAUUAAAAUAGAUAAAUCAGAAAUAUAGGAGUGUGGAUUGAGAUUUUGAGGGUGUCAAUAACAGCUACCUAUGCAAUUUUGUUGGUUAUUAUGUACUAAAAUAUAUAAAUACAAAUAUAUAUAGGGAACUGUUAUUAUCACUCCAAAAAUUUUAUUCUACACUCCUCAUAAGUGUAUUUUUUUUUUUAAUUAUAGAAAGUUUGGAGUGUCAAAUGAGAUUUUUUGAGUGUCUAUAUAUAUAUUGUUGAUGCACAAAACCGGAGGUCUUGGAACAACGUAAAUCCGACCGUGAAUCUGCAUAAAAUGUAAAUAACACAAGAUGUAUCGUGGUUCACCCCAAGGUUUGGGCUACGUCCACAUUGAUAGUUGAUUCUGUUUCUCUGUAAUUGUAUGGAUACAAGUGUUUGGGGGAAGUCCCCCGGAGGAGAAAGAAGAGAAGGGAGAGGAGAGCCUCGGUGGUGUGAGGUCUCUCCUGAAUGUAAUGAUAGCUUCUCUUAGCCUUCUUAGGCUUGGCUCUUUUGCCUCCUUUAGAAUGAGGGUAGGAGUCCCCUUUUAUAGAAUAAGGGGCUCCUCCUCUUUUACAAAGUAUGGGCUUUAGUGUGAGGCCCAAAUACAAGGCCCAAGGCCCAAAUAUACGAGGCCCUAAAUAUGGUAUAAACAUAUAUAUAUUUGUUAAAUAGUUUUUUUUUUAUUUUUUUUAUUUUUGGAAAAUAAUUUAUAACGGGCAUUAGCUGUGGUCAAUUAGUAAUCGACAAUGGUCAUAGCAUGUGGUGUUAAACCCCAAUCCACCAAGGGUACAAUCCAUGGUUAUAUUGCAAUUGACAACGGGUAUAGCCUGUCGUAGAAACUGAGACUUUUUAUUACAUCUAGAAUACUAAUGAACACAGUAUCCGUGGUGGAUUGUAAUUUAUCACGGGUAGGUGUAGUAUUGGUACAAUUACCAUACCAAAACCCAUGUACCAACCUUAUGAUAUGACAAAAUCUAUUACCAUUACCGUGCCAAACUUUCGGUAUACCGAAUUUCGGCAUGCCAAAUAGUUUGAUCGGCAUGGUAUGGUGAUGAUAAUUACCACUUUGUUUUGGGCCAAAAUUUGAUUUUCUUUUUCUUUUUCUUUUUCCACCCAAUUCAAGGCCCAAACGUGUUUUGGCCACUUUUUUUGGCUUUCUAAAACUUUUUAAUUUAAUUAUGAGAAUUUUAUAGAGAUUCAUUUAAGAAACAAGAAGUAAAUAAAUAGAAGAAUUGCUGAAAGAACCCAACAUCCCAGAAAAAAAAUACCUCAAAGAUUCUUAAAUUCCAUUUCUACAUUAUUUAAAAUUGUACAAAAAUUAACUUGAUAGACGAAGCUAGGGAGAAAGACAUCUCAAUUUGAUGAAGGAGAAGAUGAGAUGGAUUGCGAAGAGAGAGAAUCUUCGGAACGGGAGCAACAUAGAUGAAGCUGAUGGCUAGAUGAGAGAAAAAAUGAAGAGUCGCAGAAUAAGAAGGCUUAUGUUUUUUAUUGGGAAAGUAGAGGCUAAACGGUGAGAUGAUUUGAUAAAUGACUAGGAAAAAAAUAUAUAAAAUGCAUACAUAAUGAUAAUAAUACAUAAUUAUAUAUAAAAAUGAAUAAAUAAACGGUAUAAUAUUAAUAGUGGUGGUACGGUAGGGUAUACCAUUGGUAAUAGUUUUAAGUAUCAAUAUUGUACCGAAAAUGUAUGGUACGGUAUAAAUACCGUACCAUUACCAAUGGUACAAAUUUUUUGGCACAACUUCUGUAUGGUAGGGUUGGUAAUUCGGUUAGUAUGGUAAUUUGGCAAAAAAUUUCAUCCCUCACAGGCAUUCAUCUAGAUAGAUGAACUUUUUUUUCCUAAUGUGUACCACUUAUGUUAUGAGCAUAAAGAAAAAUUUCUCUGAACAAGGAGCAAGUGGGAAUAAUAAAUCUGAACUAUAGCACGUACACGUAGAUAACAAGACGAGGAAAAGCAUCGAGGCAACGUUCUCCGAGAAGCUUUCAGGAACAAGAUCCGUUGACGACGAAGUAGACUUUCCUGUGCAUAGUCGACUUGGUGGGAAGUUUCCUCGUGGGGCCAUUUGAUUGGUGGGACAAAGACGUCCGUAAUUAUAAUUAUAAUGAUAGGAUUGAUUCCUCUACUCUAGAUUGAAUUGGAGCUGAAUGAUUGAAUUUGUAAGGCCCUGAUUGGGGGGAUUCCUCAUUGGUCAUCAUGGCUUUGAUUGAUUAAAUGGACAUAUAGCUAGCUUGAAUUGGAACUGAAUGAUUGCACUUAAACGGUCCUGAUUGGGCGGACUCCUCUUUGGUCAUCAUGGCUCUGAUUGAUAUCAGUAUAAAGAAAGACAUUGACCAUUCUGGUUUCCAACUCUCUCCAUCUACUGUUUUUGAGCAGAUCGGCUAAAGCUUGAAGAUGAACAAGUUGAUAAAGUUUGUUUAUUUUGUGUUUUUGAUUGAGUGUUUGAAUCGGUUUCUUUUUGGUAGGAUAGUAGAGAAAUUGAAAAAGAUAACUUGGAGAUUGGUUUCUGCUAUGCAAAUAAUGCAGCAGCCUUGAUUGAAUAAGAAGAGUGAUUUUUACACAAGAGUAUGGUGCAUUUCCAUCACCCAUACUUUCUACAAAAGGUGAUUGACAAGAGGCCUUAACAACCAUUAAGCCUUACUACUCCAGAUUACAUCUUAACCCUUCAUUUUGGGGUUAAAUGAUUUAAUCUGGAGUGUACAUUUGUCACUCACACACUUACACAAACAUUUAAAAACAAAACUAGCCGUUGGAGACUAGAACCCUUCAUUUUCUUUCUUCUUCUUCGAUGCAGAUGACAUCCUUUUGCUCGGGAGUAUCUUGCUGCCUUCGACUCCCCGACUCCAGGAGCUGGUUAGCUUCCAACACUCCCUUCUAAACUGCUUCUGGGAGUCAAUCCGAGCAAACCCCUCAGGUAAUUGAAUCUCUCCUUCGGUAGUGCUUUUGUGAAUAUGUCUGCGAUCUGAUCUUCUGUGCUGCAAUAGAUUAGCUUGAUUGUGUUGUCUUGCAAUGCUUCUCUGAUGAAAUGAUAUCUUCUCUUGAUGUGUUUUGUUCUCUGAUGAAAUACUGGGUUUUUAGUCAUGGCAAUUGCAGAGGUGUUGUCACACAGAAGUGGUGUGGCUUCAACUUGCAAUUCGCCAAAAUCUUUAAGUAUGAACCUUAGCCAAAUGGCUUGAGAUGUAGCUUCUGAUGCACUUACAUACUCUGCCUCGGCUGUGGACAGUGCAACACUUUGUUGCUUCACAGAGGCCCAUGAAAAAACCCCUGAUCCGAAAGUGAAAGCAUAGCCCGAUGUGCUUCUACUAUCAUCCUCACUGCCACCCCAGUCACUGUCACAGAAUCCAAUUAGAAUAGAUGACUUUCCCAUCUCAUAUUUGAUCCCAUAAUCAAGAGUUCCUUGCACAUAUCUUAGCACUCUCUUAGCCGUGCCCAUAUGUAUCUUGCUAGGAUUCUGCAUAAACCUAGAAAGUAGGCUUGCUGAGAACAUCAGAUCCGGCCUUGUUGCUGUUAGAUACAAUAGACUGCCAACAAUGCUUUUAUAGAGACUAGCAUCUGCAGGUUCACUUCCAUCCUCCUUCUUGAGCUUCUCAUUUGCAAUUAAGGGUGUAGAAAACUGGUUUGCAACCUUUCAAACCAAACUUUUCAAGCAAAGUUUCAGCAUACUUCUUUUGAUGAAUAAAAAUGCUACUUGCUUUUUGAAUUACCCCAAUGCCAAGAAAAUGAUGCAAGAGGCCUAGGUCAGUCAUCUCGUACCUCUUCAUCAUUUCUUCCUUGAACUCUUCCAUCAUUGCAGCAUCAUUUCCAGUGUAGACAACAUCAUCCACAUAGAUUGAGACAAUGAGUGUCUUGUUGUUGCUUUCUGUCUUGGUGUAGAGUGUAGCUUCACUAGGACUUUUCUGAAAUCCUUUCUCAAUGAAAUAUGAAUCAAUCUCACUGUACCAAGCUCUUGGAGCUUGUUUUAGGCCAUAAAGAGCCUUCCUCAACUUGUACACUUUUUCUGGAAACUCUUGAUUUGUGAACCCUUGAGGUUGUUCCACAAACACUUCCUCCUCUAGCACUCCAUUUAGAAAUGCAGAUUUAACAUCCAAUUGAUGCAACUUCCAACCCUUCUUGGCUGCUAGUGCUAUCAAGGUCCUUAUGGUGUCUAACCUUGCUACUGGAGCAAAGGUUUCAUUGAAGUCUACACCAGGUUUCUGUGAGUAACCUUUGGCCACUAACCUGGCCUUGUUCUUUUGCACAGAACCAUCUAGAUUUAGCUUCACUUUGUACACCCAUUUUACACCAAUCACAGGCUUCUCACUUGGUCGAUUUACAAGUUCCCAAGUGUCAUUCUUUUCUAUCAUUUCAAGCUCUUCCUUCAUUGCUUUCUUCCAAGCUUUGUCUUUCUCAGCUUCUUCAUACGUUUCUGGUUCUACUACACAGUAAUUACAUGUAGCAUAAAUCUCAUCCAGAUUUCUCAAUCUUACUGGAGUUGAACUAGGAGUUGUUGUCUGUGAUUGACUUGAUUGUGGACUCAUAGUAGCUUGCUGUGGAGUCCCUUGUAUGUCACCAUUAUCUGUGACUUCUUCUUGAACUGAGGUCUCUAUAGGCUCCCUUGUUUGCCUUUUGUUUAGGUCAAUUUGUAGAGAGACACUGUCCUUUUCCUCUACCAUUGUAUCCCAGUUCCACAUUGAGUCUUCAUCAAAGAUAAUAUCCCUUGAUAGGAUUAUCUUUUGAGUCAAUACAUUAUAAACUCUGUAUCCUUUCUCACUGGUACCAUAGCCUACAAAAACACCCUUGUUACUUGAUUUCUCCAACUUGUGCCUUAGUUGAUGAGGGAUGAGAUUGUAGCAUACUGAGCCAAACACUCUCAGAUGCUUCACAGAAGGCUUCCUUCCACUGAACACUUCAAAUGGAGUCUUCUUCUCCAAUGCCUUAGUAGGACACCUAUUCAAUAGAUACACUGAGGUGUGUUCACAGCUUCACCCCAAAAUUUAUAAGGCAUGUUCUUCUCAUGCAUCAUAGACUUAGCCAUUUCGACUAUAGUCCUAUUCUUCCUUUCUGCAAUCCCAUUCUGUUGUGGUGUAUAUGCCACAGUGAGUUGCUUCUCUAACCCUACAUCUUCACAAAAUACAUUGAACUCAUGUGAGGUGUACUCACCACCCCUAUCACUUCUUAGUCUUUUGAUUUGGUAUCCACUUUGCAAUUCCACCAUUGCCUUAAACUUCUUGAAUAUUGUGAAUACCUCAGACUUGAACCUCAUGAAAUACACACCACACAUCCGUGAAUAAUCAUCAUCAUGAAGGUUAGGAAAUACCUGUUUCCACUGAUUGUUGUUGUUCUCAUUGGUCCACACACAUCUGAGUGAAUCAAUUCGAGUGGCUUUGUUGCCCUCCAAGCCUUUCCAGCUUCAAAUGAAUCUCUGUGAUGCUUGCCAAACACACACCCUUCACAGAUUUCAUUGCAUUGAUCCAUUUUUUGGUAUACCUUGCACCAUUUCAUCCUUUUGCAGAUUUUGUAAGCUUGUCAUGUUUAAAUGACCAAGUCUCUUGUGCCAUAGUUUCAUAGAACUUGUCACACUUGCUUUCUUUGCCACUUCUUCUAAGUACUUCAGUACAAGUGGAAAGCUUCUGUUUUUCACUUCCACUUUGGUCACCAAGUUUGAUAGGGAUCUGUCAUCAUAGAUCUCAACCACAGUCCCCCCAAAGAGUAGGAAAUAGCCAUGCUCCAUCAUUUGACCCACACUAAGUAGAUUCUCAUCCAAUCCAGGCACUAGCAUCACCUCCCUUAUACAUCUUCUUCCUUUCUUGGUGUUGAUAACCAGAGUUCCUCUUCCAGUGGCUUUGACAAUGUUUCCAUCACCCAUUUUCACUUUUCCAGUGAAGUUUGUGUCGAUGUCAAUAAGUAAAGACUCAUGUGCAGUCAUGUGGUUGCUGCAGCCACUGUCAAUGUACCACACUUCAUUGUUUCUCUCCAUUUUUGCAUUGAAAGCACAGAACACAUUUGCUUCUUCUUCCACUUGAUUUGCACAGUUUACUUGUUGCACAUUCUUUGAUCUGCAGUCCUUCAUAAUGUGCCCAAACCUGUUGCAUUUGUGGCAUCUAGGCUUGUCCUUGAACCAACACUCUCCAAGGUGGAAUUUAUCACAGUGCUUACAUUGCUGCUUGGUUCUUGGACCUACAUUGGUGUUGCUGCCUUGGUUAGGUCUUGAGUUGUGAUACCCUUUUCCUUCCCAUUUCUUGCUUUUGCCCUUCCACUGUGGUUUCUGAUUGCUUGCACUGGCUUGACUGCUAGAUCCAACAUUGAGUGUUUGAAAGGCUUUCUCAGGUGCAGAGUCAGCAUGCCUCUCGAGCCUUUGAUCAAAAGCUCUUAAGGAUGCCAUCACCUCUUGUACACUGAGUGUUUCAGUGUCUUUGGUUUCUUCUAUAACACUCACUAUUGAAUCAUAGGGUUUAGUCAAACUAAUCAACAGUUUUUGGACAAUUCUUUCAUUAGGCAGUUCCUCACCAUAUGUUUUCAUCUUGUUUACAACAUCAUCAAACAGCCUAGUGAAGUAGUCUUUUAACAGCUCAUUUUUCCCUCAUUCUUGUAUACUCAAAAUCUCUUCUAAGGGACUGAAGUUUUACCUUUCUAACUUUGGUGUCUCCUCUGUAUUCUUGCUGUAAAACUUCCCAAGCUCCCUUUGCAGUCUCUUCAUUUGCUAUCCUCGGAAAAAUGGUGUUGUCUGAGACAGCACCUUGAAUGAUUCCAAGUGCUCUAGCAUCCUCCAUCCGAUUCUGCUUCAGUGUUUUGAGUUGUGUUUCUGUGAGAUCCUCCUCUAGAGCAUCGAUCUCCAUCUCAGGUAGUUCAUACCCAUGUUGAACCAUAUAUCCCAUAGAUCAUAGGAUUUGAAAAUGGUUGUCAUUCUUAUUCUCCAAAAAUCAUAAUUCUCCCCAUCAAAGACUGGAGCUUUUAGCUCACUGCUACUGCUGGAUCCUUUCAUUUCCAGAAUUGUUUGUUGAUUAUUGUUAUAGAAGACACUACGUUGGUGCUCCCAAAGAUCUUAUCUUGCACAGAUUACGCCCCGAAAGUUGUAAGAUCAAUAACAAAGCUCUGAGGCCAUGAUAAAGUUUGUUUAUUUUGUGUUUUUGAUUGAGUGUUUGAAUCGGUUUCUUUUUGGUAGGAUAGUAGAGAAAUUGAAAAAGAUAACUUGGAGAUUGGUUUCUGCUAUGCAAAUAAUGCAGCAGCCUUGAUUGAAUAAGAAGAGUGAUUUUACACAAGAGUAUGGUGCAUUUCCAUCACCCAUACUUUCUACAAAAGGUGAUUGACAAGAGGCCUUAACAACCAUUAAGCCUUACUACUCCAGAUUACAUCUUAACCCUUCAUUUUGGGGUUAAAUGAUUUAAUCUGGAGUGUACAUUUGUCACUCACACACUUACACAAACAUUUAAAAACAAAACUAGCCGUUGGAGACUAGAACCCUUCAUUUUCUUUCUUCUUCUUCGAUGCAGAUGACAUCCUUUUGCUCGGGAGUAUCUUGCUGCCUUCGACUCCCCGACUCCAGGAGCUGGUUAGCUUCCAACACAAGUAAGUCAACUUCAAACUCCUCGUAUCCUUAUUUUUCUUUGAAUCCUUUGUCGUUGAUUGAUCUUAUACUGUCUUGAUUAAGCAGACAUUGUUCUGAAAUGGCUGAAGGGUGUUUUUCAACAAGUAAAAGCUCUUACGGUUAAAUCUGGCAAAAGAAACUUACAAAACGCUUUUAGAUAGUGUAAGCUCUUUUCGGAGAAGCACUUGCUAUGGCUAGACUUUUACCAAACACAAUUUUAGCUCCAACUUUUCUAAAAACUGUUUUUAAAAAUAAAAUUGAGCAACCUCAGACCCGCCCAUGUCAACAUUCAAGUUUUCAAGUGCUUUUUCAAAGAGCACUUGAGUAUUUAAUAAACAUGUCUAAUCUGUUCAUAGUAAAAGAGAACUGCUUAUGAGUAGAGUGUUUCUUACGAGUACAAUGGCUUUAUAAUCGUCCUUAUAAUUUACCCAUGUGGAAUUUCAUUCUUACUAGUGUUUUGCUAAAGUGACUUCACUAGAAAUACGGCGAAAGUUCUUUAGAAAACACUUCUCCUACUCGUAUACAUUUUUAAGUUUUUCUUUCAAUAUAAUGAAAAACAUUUUUUAUCGUUAGAUUGACAUUGUUAGCUAUUUCAAAAGCAGUUUCAAACGUGUUUAUUAUUAUAUGGUUGGGUGUUAUUUGCUUACAUACUCCAUUUAACUUUGUUUCAAUAUUUUGUUGGUGAUGACAGUAUUAGCAGUGCUGGGCUUGAACUAGAAAAUGUGCUGGUGACUUCUCCUCCCCUGCACCAGUCAUGGGACGCUGUUCAGAAGCAAAAGCUCAACACAGCUCCUGAUCCGAAUGCACAAACGGCCUUAUAUGUUACUGAAACCAAGCACUCAAACACCACCAUCAUAUCUUUUCUUACUUCACCCGUCACACUUCAAGAUCAACAAGCGAUGAUUUCGUCGUUGACUCUCAGGGACAAAAAAUUUCCCCUCUUUGAGUUUUUGUGCACCAAAUACAACACAAGUUUCACCGUCAAUGAUUUGGCAAUCAAAUUCUUCGCCUUGAAUUACGACAACCUCAACCUCGAUCUUCUGAGAACAAAGGUGCAUAUUGUUGUCUCUCUGAUAACUGAUAGUGUUUAACCGCUUAGACUAUUAAUGUUAGUGAGAAACAUUUAAAAAUCAUGUUUAUAAUGUUAGAUUAUGUUAGCGUGAUACACAUACAAACCCCUCAUUAAUACUGUUAUAAGGGUGCAUUUGUUAUCUCGGACUUGACUAGCUUGCUUGGUUUGGACUAUGCAGGAUAAGAAUAGUGGGCUCAAACAAUUAAUUUCAAUUUUCUUUUAAUUUUUUUACUUCUCCCUCCACCUGUUACACACCUCACUCAAUAAAAUGUCCUACGAACACCAGAACUUCACAAUGCACUACGUGCAACGAACAUAAUUAUAUUUUCCACUUUGUAAUUGUGCAGAGACUUUCAUAAUUUUCUUUCAAAUUAACACUACCAAUCUUUAUUAGAACCAAAAAAUGGAAAAACUUAUCGAUUUGCACAAUUUACUAGAUUUUAAAAUUGCCAGAUACUUUUUAUGAAGGGAAAAAAAAUGAUGCGUGAACAACACUUCUCACAAAAAAAAAUAAUGAAAUAUAUAAAUACAUACCAAAGUAAAUGUUUGCACACACUAACAUGCAAUAUAUGCAGUUUUUCAUUUUGUCAAACAAAUACAACAUAGCACAUUAAAGACAUUUUGUAAAUCCUAUGGGCUAGUUAAUAUGGGCAACAACCUUGUGUUUGGUUGUCAAGGACUUAGCAGGAUCUUCGAAAUUGUUCCAUAACACUGAUCCGAAAUUGCAUUCUUUAAUCCCUGCUUGCAAAUGCAAAAGUGGUUAUCAAUCUCUCCCUACUACUGUAAAAGGGAGAUAAUGAUAGAACUAAUUCAAUGUGAUAAACUAUAAGCUUCAAUGAAAUCAAAUGACAGGAGAAAAUUAAUGCAAGUCACCACUUCUUGAGGAUGAAGAGGGAGAGCAUCGAUGAAUAUUUUAGUUCAAAUUAAGGGAUUUCUUCUAAGGAGAUUUAUAGGGUUACUUAUAUGCAAGAUGACAUUUAUGUAAACCUGUGUGGAUGACGGAGAACAUAUAGUUAAUAUAUUAUAGUUGAGAAAAGCUAUCUUUCUUCUUGUAGUUCAUUUGUAAAUUUAUAAGAAUACCUCAGGUUUAUGUAUUACCAUCACCCAGCUUUAAACCAUAUAAACCUGUGUGGAUGACUGAUUUUGUAAUGUAAAAGAUAGAAAAUCAAGAUGACGUUUAGGAGUCAAGAUAAGUGGGAAAGGAAUGCAAGAUGAGUGGAAGUCACAAAGCGGAUAGCCUUUUAUAUGGCCUCAAGGUUGAUAAAUUUACAAUGGUUAAGGAUGCAAAUCCGAUAUCUCCAUAAGUUUGAGUCAGUAGAGGCACUUGAAAAUAGAAUGAUAAGAUGGUAACUUCAUUCUGGUUAAUCGAAUGUUUUAGCUAGCAGCAAGUGGGUCAAGGCUCGAUGCCAAAGUCAUAAACUACGGUUUUAAAGCACAUAUCAGCCACCAAAACCCAGAGUACUCAUGUCAAAUAUUAACAGCCAAAACCCUGAGUACACACAAUAAACUAUAAUUCAUUAAUGGGAAUGAAACAUCUGAGAAAAUGUGAACUCAACAACCAAAACCCAGUGUACCCAUGUCAAAUAUUAACAACAAAGGAAUUUAUGUAUGUAUGUCAAGAAUCAAACAAAAAAUUAUCACCCAAAAUAAAAAUCAAUCAGGGCUGCUUUAUGUAUUAGGAAGCCCAGAACCACUAUUCUAAGUGUUAGGCAGUUGGCCAUCACCCCGAUUAAUGCCUAGACGUUUAAAAAUUAAAAAAGGGUGCCUUGACUUGUUGAGGCACCCUCCUCGACCGCCUAACCCGUCCAGACCUGCCUAGGCAUCCGCCAAGGUCACGACUCACUUAAACAGAAAAAAUAUCACUUUCAUUUUGCAUUUUAUUUUUUCAAUAAAUUGUAAGAUUUGUUGCAUACUUAAAUGAACACACAUUUUAUCCUUGUUCCCCAUGAUUUCAUUAUGUUCCAAUACUUCAUAAUAUAUAUGUCAUUCUAUUUUGUAGUUUAUGAUGAAAUUAUAUAUAUUUUAAGUAUAAAUAGGCACUUAUUUACACGAAAUAUAAUAGAUUUUACUUAAAUCCGCCUAGUCCGCCUAGGCCCCGUCUAGCCGCCUAGGUUCUUGGUCCAAACCUGCCGCCCGACUAGCGCCUAGCGUCUUUUAGAACCUUGCCCAGAACAAUAUAAAAAAACGGCUAUGGGUUAUAGAUCAGAAAAUGGUGCUUUUGCAUGCUCAAAAGAUUGUUAAAAGGCCAUAAAAUGGUGAUUUUUAUGUAACCAAAUCGGAGAAUUUUGGAUAAGAUUAAACAACAAUAAGCAGGGAACAAAGAAAAAAUUGCAAUCAACUUACAAAAACUUAGCAAUUAGUUCACAGAAGGAAAAGUAGCAGAUAAAUUGGGUAGCAAUCAAUUAAAAAACACACCCAAUCACAGAACACAAAUGUACACGCACCCAAUUUUUGUGCUAGAAAUUCAAAAAAUUUAGAGAUUUCGCACGCAAACAACGAAAUCGAUCAAAACCCAAUAAUAAUUACGAUCUGCAAAACAAAAUUGAAGAAAUUGAUUGUUAGAUUCAGAAUUUACCAGACAGGACAAGGAUGAAGGAGCGGGACGAGGAUGAGGGAGAAGAUCGAGCGUGACAAGGAUGGGCGAGCAGGACCAGGACGAGCGAGCAACUAUCUCGAAGAUGGUCUUAGCAAUCCGGUGAUAUUGGGGUUCUCGCUAAGAACUUCUAGUGAAGCGGUUUGUUGGAGCGAGUCCGACUUAAUCCCAUUAAACUUAAUGUCUAACAAACACAAUAUUACACUAACAAUUAGUCAUAUUUAGUUCAAUGAGAGCUAGUGAGCCUAAACAAACACACCUUAAGAGCUUAAUGUAGUAACAGUUGAGUCUCUUCCCCUUUUAAAGAAAAUUAAUAAAAAAUGCUUUAAAACUUUGCAUUUUAAUCAAAAAUCAUUUAGUAACUUUAUUUAAUGAGAAAGAUAAAAAAAUAAAAAAUUUAAACAUGCAUGUGCCCAGCCCGCGUCCCCCCCCCCCCCCCAAUAUAACCAAAUAAGAAAAAGUAAAUGAAAACACACUACACAUACAUAUGAUAUUAUGUAUGAAUUAGCUAAUUGUAACAACGAUGACACCUAUUUUUAGGCCUUUGACAAAAUAAGCAAACACACGUCUAGUGCUAUAAUCUCGUAAGUUUCAUAAACAAUGAAGUAUUGUUAAGUUUCAUAAACAAUGUAGUACAGUUAAGUUUCAUAAACAGUGUAGUAAGUUUCAUAAAUAAUGUGUAUGUGGACGCACGGGUCCCCCGCGUUAGUUUUUCUUUUUAAAAAAAUUAUGUCUUUUUCAUUAAAAUUUAAAGUUCUUUUGUCUUUUUUAUUAAAAUUUAAGAGUUUUUCAUUAAUAUUUAAGUAUUUUUCAUUAAAUAAAGUUAUAGCAUGAUUUUUUGUUGAAAUAAAUUUAGUCAAAUGCCUUUUCAUGAAAGUUCCCUUUCUUUAUUGUUUCAAAACCGAGUUUUAAGUAUUUUUUUCUAAUAUGAAUGAAGUUCUGAGGACCUUAUUCGUAGAGACGUCUCCGAACUGAUUAAAUAGCAGUUCAGUAAUUGACUAACUUUUAUGUAAUAUUUCAGCUGGUAGAAAGCAGCAAAUCCAACUCAUUGGUACUUGUCACUGGACAAUCUUUUGGAGGCGCUGUAGCUACCCUUUUCACCUUAUGGCUGCUAGAAAGCCUCGACUUAUCGAAAGUGAAACGUCCCCUUUGCAUCGCUUUUGGUUCACCCUUGAUCGGUGACAAACAAUUCGGACAAUGUGUGUUGCAAUUCCCAUUGUGGAGUUCUUGCUUCUUGAAUGUAGCCUCCAUCGAUGAUCCUGUACUUCAAUUCUUCCUAACCGCUUCGCAAGCGAGUGGUUAUAAGCCUUUCGGAACAUUCCUACUGUGCUCCUCUUCGGGUGGUUCUUGCUUUGAGGACCCUGAUGCCAUUUUGCAACUAUUGGUGGAAACCAGCUCUCGGUGUGCCCAAAAUCCAGGUCUGAAUUCAGGGAUUCAGUUGUUCGAUUACGGAAAGAUUUUGAAUGAUCUCAAGACUAAGGCAUUGUCUAGAGAUGUCUUUGAGUUGGUUGAAGAGGAUAGAGUUCCACUUAAAGCUGGAAUUAAAACACAGUUGGCAGCAAUAUUAGGAGUUCUCAGCUCACAGGUAUCAAACUUUCAACAGAAAUAUCUGAUUUGAUGAUGAUUUUGGGAAAUGGGUUCCGCACAAACCUGUUUAUUUCCAUCUCUUGAUUCUCCUUUGAUUUAUUUAAUCCAAAGACUAGAAAUAAACACAGGUGUGCAGGGGGGGAAUAUGAGAUUGCGGAAAUCACAUCCCAUGUUUACUUCUAGCUACUAACUUUUCUCUCAACUCCUUUUGUAAAAGUCAUUGCAGCAGCAACAACCCAACAUAGAAUUCGAAAGUCUGAUGAAAAAGAUGGUCACUCACGAACGUAAACUAGCGAUGCAGAAGAUGAAGGUUUACAGUUCCUCCUUGAAACUGAAUGAGAUUGAAAAGUACAUGGCCUACAUGGAAUGGUACAAGGAGGAGUCCAAAGACAUGGGAAUUGGAUACUAUGACAGGUACAAAAACUUGCGCUAUGCGAGUGACCUGAAUGCCAAAGAGUACAAGAAGAGGCUCUCGAAUUACUGGGAGGACACGGUUGCAGAAGCUGAGAGCAAGCCCCAGAAAGAAGGAGCCGCAAUGCCUGCCCCUUUUCUUUUUGCUGGUACGAAUUACAGAAAGAUGAUCGAACCGCUUUGCAUUGCAGAGUACUACAAGAAAGGUGGAAAAGAUUACAUAGAGGAAAGGCCUCGACAUUUUGUUCUUUUGGAGCAAUGGUACAAUGAAGAGGAGGAAAAUAAGAGGGGAGAGUGGGAAGAAAGGGAGAACCCACAACUGCGCGGCGCAAGCAAGCCCAAUUCAAAAGCAAAGAAUGUACCUCCUAAUCUGAAUGAUGAUUCUUGUUUUUGGGCGCACGUCGAGGAAGCGCUUAUCUGGUGCAACGAACAAGUGAGUAAUCCCGAUGCUAAGCCAAUGACCGAAUUUGAGCUUUACGUUCUGAAUAUGCUCGAUAAUUUCGCAGUUAGGGAUGAUAUUUUCUUGAAGAAUAGCAGCUUCAUGCAUUGGUGGAACAAGUAUAAAGUAAUUGUGCGAAGUAACUACUCCUCAGCAUUCACCGAGGUCAUGAAGCGUAAGACUUAUCGCAAAUAUGCGGAUG